Molecule: ribosomal RNA, 252 nt
Filed under: uncultured Bacteroidales bacterium
Lineage: Bacteria; Pseudomonadati; Bacteroidota; Bacteroidia; Bacteroidales
Description: partial 16S ribosomal RNA
Rfam family: Bacterial small subunit ribosomal RNA
Source: RNAcentral
UACGGAGGAUGCGAGCGUUAUCCGGAUUUCUUGGGUUUAAAGGGUGCGCCGGCGGAUUUUUAAGUCAGCGGUCAAAUCGCGGGGCUCAACCCCGCCGAGCCGUCGGAACUGGGGGCCUUGAGUGCGGCGGAGGCAUGCGGAAUGCGCGGUGUAGCGGUGAAAUGCAUAGAUAUCACGCAGAACCCCGAUUGCGAAGGCAGCAUACCGGCGCUCAACUGACGCUGAGGCACGAAAGUGCGGGUAUCGAACAGG